AACUCUUUUAAUUCUGAUAAGUCCAUAAAUCAAGAUUGAUGUUUAGUAACAUGUCAUAACUACCCAAAAAAUUUAAAAUUUGAUAAAAAUACUAAAAUUAUCCUUUCAUGGUGAGUUACUGUGUAAUUCAAUCCUUCGAUCACACAACAUCUCAAAAAAGUCAUGGAUAUGAAAAUAUGUCAAUCUCAAAUAUCUAUCUAUAUAUAUCUUGAUCUGAUGAUGAUGAUUCAAUUGAUAAAUCAAUAAAAAUUAUUUCUAGUAUUUAUCCCUCCUCUGGCUAGAGACUCUCAAAGUUAUCAUCCUAUG
This 306-nucleotide long non-coding RNA is filed under the name Elaeis guineensis (African oil palm). RNAcentral describes it as "long non-coding RNA (EGUI_LNC044459)". Lineage: Eukaryota; Viridiplantae; Streptophyta; Magnoliopsida; Arecales; Arecaceae. The record is from RNAcentral.